CGGAGGGUGCAAGCGUUAUCCGGAUUCACUGGGUUUAAAGGGUGCGUAGGCGGGCAGGUAAGUCAGUGGUGAAAUCUCAGAGCUUAACUCUGAAACUGCCAUUGAUACUAUCUGUCUUGAAUUCUCGUGGAGGUGAGCGGAAUAUGUCAUGUAGCGGUGAAAUGCUUAGAUAUGACAUAGAACACCCAUUGCGAAGGCAGCUCACUACGGAGUCAUUGACGCUGAGGCACGAAAGCGUGAGGAUCAAACAGGAUUAGAUACCCUGGUAGUUCACGCCCUAAACGAUGGAUACUCGACAUACGCGAUACACAGUGUGUGUCUGAGCGAAAGCAUUAAGUAUCCCACCUGGGAAGUACGACCGCAAGGUUG
Molecule: ribosomal RNA, 369 nt
Filed under: uncultured organism
Description: bacterial SSU rRNA
Rfam family: Bacterial small subunit ribosomal RNA
Source: RNAcentral